UAGAGGCCUCUGCUCUGCCAGCCUGGGAGUCAUCUUCACCCUCAGGCUGGUAGACUCCAGUCUCUUAGGUCAGAAUGGGAUUAGAGACCCGUUCCUGAACCAGUCACACACAGCGGGUGAAACUGCUAUGAUUGGUUUAGACUUAGAGACUGGAAUGGAUGCUGGCCUAGAAGCGAAGACACAUAGAAGCAAUGUGUACCUAGACUGUUGUCCUAAAUGCCAUUUCCUACCAGGAAGGAACCAGAGUCUUUGCAGAAAUGUAUCAUUUCACAUCUGGGCCCCAGAUAGCAGAUGACUGGUAGGAAGAUGAGGCAAGUUUGCGGUCCAUUGUCAUGGAUAGUGGAGACAACACUGGGCCAGAAGUGGUAAGACCUGAAUCCAAGACUCAGCUCUGCCACUUGCUAAAUGGGACUUUGAAUAAACCAUUUCUCUGCACUUAAGUUCCUUACCAACAAAACGAGGGAAGUGGCCUACAUGCCUAGAUAUCAACAUUUCAUGUCACGUAGAGAUCUAGCAUCACAAGAAUCCAAGUCAUCCUCUGUUGCCUUUAAGGU
This 554-nucleotide long non-coding RNA is filed under the name Homo sapiens (human). RNAcentral describes it as "HSALNT0224941". The record is from RNAcentral. Lineage: Eukaryota; Metazoa; Chordata; Mammalia; Primates; Hominidae.